AUCAUCUGUAGUCCUCGAACCCCUAACCCUGAACCUUGAACCCAAAACACGAAACCUGAAACCCCAAAACCACAAACCUCGAAACCUCGAAAAGUCUAAACCUCGAAACCUAAAACCCCUAACCUAACCCCCAAACCCAAAAACCCAAAAACCCCAAAACCCUGAAACCUAAAACUUGAAACCCCAAACAGUCUACCCAGAAACCUGAAAUCACGAACCCCAAACCGAUCCAUGCACCCUAAACCCUGAAACCUAAAACACUAAACCUUAAACCCCUAAAAACCUAAAGCCGUAAACCAUAAAUCCUAAACUUUAACCCCUAAACCAUAAACCCUAAAGUACCCCAAACCACGAACCCUGAACCCCAAACCGAAAUCCCCAAUCUCGAAACCAGAACCCUAAAAUCCUAAACACUAAACCCUAAAGUACCCUUAACCCCGAACCUCAAACCUCGAACCCUGAACACGAAACCUCAAACCCCAAAACCACAAACCUCGAAACCCAACCCCCAAACCUCCAAACAUCCAAACCUCCAAACCCCCA
This 543-nucleotide long non-coding RNA is filed under the name Cucumis sativus (cucumber). Its description in RNAcentral is "long non-coding RNA (CSAT_LNC003143)". Lineage: Eukaryota; Viridiplantae; Streptophyta; Magnoliopsida; Cucurbitales; Cucurbitaceae. The record is from RNAcentral.